CUUCACCGAGCCCAGCCACAACGGCUCGUCCCGACCCUGCCCAUACGUCGCCAGCACCGCGUUGGCCUC
RNAcentral lists this antisense RNA (69 nucleotides) under Actinophytocola xanthii. RNAcentral's name for it is "ASpks TB sRNA". It matches the Rfam family "ASpks TB sRNA". Lineage: Bacteria; Bacillati; Actinomycetota; Actinomycetes; Pseudonocardiales; Pseudonocardiaceae. The record is from Rfam by way of RNAcentral.